CCAAAAGCUGGCGACCGGCGCAUGGGUGAGUAACACGUAUCCAACCUGCCUCAUACUCGGGGAUAGCCUUUCGAAAGAAAGAUUAAUAUCCGAUAGCAUAUAUUUCCCGCAUGGGUUUUAUAUUAAAGAAAUUCGGUAUGAGAUGGGGAUGCGUUCCAUUAGUUUGUUGGGGGGGUAACGGCCCACCAAGACUACGAUGGAUAGGGGUUCUGAGAGGAAGGUCCCCCACAUUGGAACUGAGACACGGUCCAA
RNAcentral lists this ribosomal RNA (252 nucleotides) under uncultured bacterium. RNAcentral's name for it is "partial 16S ribosomal RNA". It matches the Rfam family "Bacterial small subunit ribosomal RNA", at positions 80 to 334 of the family's 1533-position model. The record is from RNAcentral.